GAAUAGCCAAUGCACUCAAUACAAGAGCUAUAGCAGAAAGGAUAUUUUUCCAAGCCUCAAAAGUUUUAACAACACUAUUGCAUUCCUUGCAAUGGAUUACAUGCCGAAAAUACCUGUUAGCCAAAUUGGGUGCGUACAUUGUUCCUGUGCCACCCUUCGCUGGCAAAGAAGCAGAAACUCCAGCGACAAACUCGGCUGGUGCAUGUUCAACAACGGCAGGAACUUGAGGUAGAGAGAUUGUGUUGUGCCCAAAA
This 254-nucleotide unclassified non-coding RNA is filed under the name Hevea brasiliensis (rubber tree). The record is from RNAcentral. Lineage: Eukaryota; Viridiplantae; Streptophyta; Magnoliopsida; Malpighiales; Euphorbiaceae.